Molecule: long non-coding RNA, 1134 nt
Organism: Daphnia pulex (common water flea)
Lineage: Eukaryota; Metazoa; Arthropoda; Branchiopoda; Diplostraca; Daphniidae
Exons: 4
Source: RefSeq, a predicted model, not a curated record
GUACUUUAUGUUGCUUGAAUUUUUCGUACUGCCAAGAGUGUGUGUUUGAAGAGUUACAGGUUGGUAGGGACGGAACAUUUAGCGAGAAAACGUUUUAUGGAAUACAUUAGUCAUACAAAACCAGACUAGUGAGAACGAAUUUUCCAGCGGCGACCCUUGAGGGGGCUAACGAACAUUAUGGGAGGGGAGGUGAAAUUUACCGCAUUUAGCCCGCGUUAUGGUUGUGUUGAACGGAUGAGUUUUUUGUUUUGUUUUGCUUUGGCCUUUAUUACUGAAAAACACUUUGCUUCUUUUGGCACCUGACUGGUUUGUGGCUAGUUAACCAUAGAUGCUACACAGAUAAAUAACGCAGUAGAUCGUGAUGACGAGAUGAGGGAGGAGUAUAGAGGAGAAAGCAGUCCUAUCUCCCGCUGUAGCCCAUAGCUGUCCGGGGAGUGGAAGCCCCUGCUAGUUGGCAGCGCAAUAAGAAAUGGGUAGGACGUGUUGGGCACCUGGCUUCAGAACUGGAUAUCCUCUAAAGAAAGGUGAAAGCCAAAAAGUUGGACCACAACCAGCACUGUUUGAAGCCUCCAAAGACCCUGACUAGUUUAAGAAGUGCUAAAAGAAAAUACUGAGGAAAUAAUUUGUGUUAAGGAACAGCUCUUAUGUAUGUGAGCUGCAUUUUCUUCCAGAGGCUAUAAAAAACACAUUCUCUGGAUUGUGUAAUGGAGUCCCACGUGAUGUCACUGCACUGAAAAGAGUAAGCAAUAAAUUAAGACCUGGGCCUGUGCCUCUUUUAUGGCCUGGAUGCCCAGACCAUCUGUCGAAGAAAGACAAAGAGAAAAGAAAACCUCCUCAAAAGAGAAACCAGCCCAACUCUCGAAGAAAAAGAACAGUGAAGGACAGCAGUGAUGUUGAGUCUGCUGAUUAUCCUGAUCCCUUAGCAUUGAACAAUCAGAAGAGAAAAUCACCUAAAGAUGACGAGAAAACUAGCUCACAACCAAUACCAUAAUACAGCAUUCAGCCUUGAAGGCCAAUUGAAGAAACUUCUGGAAGCAAAACACAAUUCAAAUGUACAAUUUUCAAAAUUUGAUCUGUUCCCCUUUAGCAAACUACUUCAUUCUUGCAAUCACAAUUCACUAAACAAUAAUUAUA